RNAcentral lists this ribosomal RNA (462 nucleotides) under uncultured bacterium. Its description in RNAcentral is "bacterial SSU rRNA". It matches the Rfam family "Bacterial small subunit ribosomal RNA", at positions 29 to 526 of the family's 1533-position model. The record is from RNAcentral.
AACGAACGCUGGCGGCAGGCCUAACACAUGCAAGUCGGACGAGAAGGUUCCUUCGGGAACUGGAGAGUGGCGCACGGGCGAGUAACGCGUGGGGACCUACCUUUUAGUGGGGGCUAACGGUUGGAAACGACCGCUAAUACCGCAUACGCCCUUUUGGGGAAAGAUUUAUCGCUAAAAGAUGGACCCGCGUUGGAUUAGAUAGUUGGUGAGGUAACGGCUCACCAAGUCUUCGAUCCAUAGCUGGUUUGAGAGGAUGAUCAGCCACACUGGGACUGAGACACGGCCCAGACUCCUACGGGAGGCAGCAGUGGGGAAUAUUGGACAAUGGGCGGAAGCCUGAUCCAGCCAUGCCGCGUGGGUGAAGAAGGCCUUCGGGUUGUAAAGCUCUUUCAGAUGCGAAGAUGAUGACGGUAACAUCAGAAGAAGCCCCGGCUAAUUUCGUGCCAGCAGCCGCAGUAAAAC